UAUAAGGCAUAAGCAUCGCAUGAUAUCACAGCAAAUAGUUGUUGCAGUAUGUCUAACAAGCAUCCAAGGACUUGUCGUCAUGGUAAAAAUCCAAGCUUUUGUAGUUUCCAUGAAUGAGUCUCCGAGGAAUGCGUCUUCCACGUAAACUUUACUGAUGAAUUCGACCAAAAAAAGCUGAAAACGAAUACGCACCGUUUUAGCUUCUUUAGAGUUAGAAGUAUAAAGAUAAUCAGUAUAAGCGCAAGAAGACUAGCGAUAUGUAUGGUAAGUAAAUAUUACAAAAAGAUGAUGCACACACCUUUUGAAAACUUGAACGAUUGACCUGAGACAAUGUUUCAGGAAUUGAAUCUACGUCCUGUACAUCAAAGUUCGUAACGAAGGGUUGACAACCAGAGGCCUAUGAAUUAGUUUACGUUUCAAAGGAAGAGUAAACAAAACAGCAAAAGCUAGAAAACGUCGCGGAUCAU
Schizosaccharomyces pombe (fission yeast) is the source of this 467-nucleotide non-coding RNA. Lineage: Eukaryota; Fungi; Ascomycota; Schizosaccharomycetes; Schizosaccharomycetales; Schizosaccharomycetaceae. The record is from the annotation of a GenBank genome assembly.